AGCUUUGUGCAGUGGCAGUAUCAUAGCCAAUGAGGUUUAUCCGAGGCGCGAUUAUUGCUAAUUAAAAUUUUUUCAUACUCUUUCCCACAUUAUGCUUAUUUUUUACUAGUAACAAAAAGAAGGUGCCCAAGAAAAUGG
Small nuclear RNA from Mirounga angustirostris (Northern elephant seal), 138 nucleotides. RefSeq annotates it as U4 spliceosomal RNA. The record is from RefSeq and is a predicted model, not a curated record. The transcript has a single exon. NCBI's taxonomy places the organism in Eukaryota, Metazoa, Chordata, Mammalia, Carnivora, Phocidae.